AAGGGCGACGCCGCGCGACGGACGUUACGCGCGUCGCGGAGGGAGCAGAAGUGGUUGGGUUUCGUGUUUGCUUAAGUCUGUCGCUCCCGGCUAGCCCGACCCGACCGCGGCGCCUUCCUGCAGGUAGCGGACUCCCAGGAGCCAGUGGAGCCUACAUUGCGAAGCUGAGCUGGGCCCGUGUCUGAUUCCGGUUUCUCUUGAGCGCGUCUCGGAGCCGGCCCAGAACAGAGGGAAGCCAGACCUACGCCAUACCCGGCCCAACAGUGGUAGGGCGGCUGCGGGUGCUGGUCAAGCUGGGUCUGCGGGCACUGAGUGAGGAUCAGCAAAUCCUCAGUGGAUGAAAUAUUUGCAGUGCGGUGAGGCGAAGGAGUGAGGCUGAGAUUGACUUGAAGGCUUCAAAACCAGCUAAGCAAAGGAUCACUAGGAUCAUGACAGAAACGUGAAGACGGAAAAAGAGAGUCUGAGUCGAAAGCCGGUUUUGAAAGCCAAAGUAAUACAGAUGUUGGAGUCUAGAUAUGGGACCUAGGAAUUGGGACAGAUCCUCCAAUCCCAGAGGUAAUGAGUGGAACCUUUUUUAUUCAUUUUUGCAACAAGUAUUGAGCAGCAAUGCAAAUUAAAACUAAGGAUGUACCACGUUACACUUAACAGAUUGGCAAAAACUUAAAAAUCUGUCUUUACCAAACUUGAUAAGAAUGUGGAUUUGUGAGCAGAGCAGAACUCGUGCACUGCCGGUAGGAGAACACAUUCAUUCACUAAUUUUGGAUGGCCACUUAGCAAUUUCUAGCAAAAACACUCUAUAACUUAACAAUUCCACUCUUAGUAUGUGCUCUAGAGUACCUUGCCUCCGCAUGCAGAGACAAGAAUGUUCAGUGCAGUGUUGCUCCUAGUGGUAGUUGGAGUCUGGGGGAGAAGCAACCAAAAUGCCAUCUAUGGCAGAAUCGAUAACUUGCACAGUUACGUAGUAGAAUACCAUAAAUUAGUAACAAUGAUUACAUACAUCAACAUAAGUGAAUUUCACAAACUGUGGGGUUGUUUUUGAAAUGGGGCUUACUAUGUUGCCCAGGCUGGCUGCAAAAUCCUGGGCCCAAGUGAUCCUCCUCAAGCUUCCUGAGUAGCUGAGUACAGAUGCGAGCACUACUGCACCUGGCUCCACAGUGCUGAAUGAGAAAAAGUUGAAUAUGAAUUCACAUGGUAUGAUACCAUUUAGUACUAUUUUCUUUUAAAGAAUGAGAAUACGGCCAGGUGUGGUGGCUCAUGCCUGUAAUCGCAGCACUUUAGGAGGCUGAGGCAGGAGGAUCCCUUGAGCCCAGGAGUUUGAGGCUGUAGCAAGCUAUGAUCAUGUCACUGCACUCCAGCCUUGGCGAUAGUGCAAAACCCUAUCUCAAAAAAAAAACAACGUAAAAGAUAAAUUCAGGAGAGUGGUUGCCUAUAG
Long non-coding RNA from Chlorocebus sabaeus (green monkey), 1432 nucleotides. RefSeq lists it as uncharacterized. The record is from RefSeq and is a predicted model, not a curated record. Lineage: Eukaryota; Metazoa; Chordata; Mammalia; Primates; Cercopithecidae.